RNAcentral lists this ribosomal RNA (1443 nucleotides) under Euplotes focardii. RNAcentral describes it as "partial Eukaryotic small subunit ribosomal RNA". It matches the Rfam family "Eukaryotic small subunit ribosomal RNA", at positions 420 to 1830 of the family's 1831-position model. The record is from RNAcentral. Lineage: Eukaryota; Ciliophora; Spirotrichea; Euplotida; Euplotidae.
GGAAGGCAGCAGGCGCGUAAAUUACCCAAUCCUGACUCAGGGAGGUAGUGACAAGAAAUAACAGACCGGAGCCUCUGGUUCCGGGAUUGCAAUGAGUACAAUUUAGACUCCUUAACAAGUAACAAUUGGAGGGCAAGUCUGGUGCCAGCAGCCGCGGUAAUUCCAGCUCCAAUAGUGUAUAUUAAUGUUCCUGCAGUUAUUCGAUGCUCGUAGUUGGAUUUCUGGAGGCUGAGACAGGAGGGCAGCCAAGGUUGUCGCCAGUCUCUUCCUUCAUCCGCCUGUUAACGUUGUCCGGGAUUUAUUUCUCGGCUUCGGGCUCAGGUACUUUUUUUGUUUUACCCUUUCUUUAUAUUCAUUUAUUUAUCUUUAUUUUUUGAGCAAAUUAUAGUGUUUCAGGCAGGCGUGCGCCGGAAUACAUUAGCAUGGAAUAAUCGAAUUGGACCGUGUAUUCACUAUGUGAAUUCUUCCUUAUUUGUUGGUUCUAAGGACACGGAUAUGAUUAAUAGGGAUAGUAAUUUUCAGGGGAGGCAUUAGUAUUUAAUUUCCAGAGGUGAAAUUCUUUGAAAUAUUAAAGACUAACUUAUGCGAAAGCAUUUAUUUUGCCAAUAAUGUUUUCAUUAAUCAUUGAACGAAAGUUAGGGGAUCAAAGACGAUCAGAUACCGUCCUAGUCUUAACCAUAAACGUUGCCGACUAGGGAUCGGAGGGCGUGCACAUUCCGCCUUCGGCACCUUACGAGAAAUCAAAGUCUUUUGGGUUCUGGGGGUAGUAUGGUCGCAAGGCUGAAACUUAAAGGAAUUGACGGAAGGGCACCACCAGGAGUGGAGCUUGCGGCUCAAUUUGACUCAACACGGGAAAUCUUACCAGGUCCAGACAUAGCGAGGAUUGACAGAUUGAUAGCUCUUUCUUGAUUCUAUGGGUAUUUUUGGUGGUGCAUGGCCGUUCUUAGUUGGUGGGUUGCCUUGUCAGGUUGAUUCCGGUAACGAACGAGACCUCAGCCUGCUAAAUAGUCACGUCUACCUCGGUAGGCGCCUGACUUCUUAGAGGGACUAUUGGCGUUUAGCCAAUGGAAGUGUGAGGCAAUAACAGGUCUGUGAUGCCCUUAGAUGUCCUGGGCCGCACGCGUGCUACACUGAUGCAUACAGCGAGCACUUCCCGGCCCCGAAAGGCGGCUGGUAAUCAGCAAUAUGCAUCGUGAUGGGGAUAGUUCUUUGGAAUUCUUGAACUUGAACGAGGAAUGCCUAGUAGGCGCAAGUCAUUACCUUGCGUCGAUUAAGUCCCUGCCCUUUGUACACACCGCCCGUCGCUCCUACCGAUUCGAGUGAUCCGGUGAACCUUUUGGACCGGAGCUGCUUGCAGUUCUGGAAAAUCAAGUAAACCACGUCACUUAGAGGAAGGAGAAGUCGUAACAAGGUUUCCGUAGGUGAACCUGCGGAAGGAUCAAU